This 433-nucleotide ribosomal RNA is filed under the name uncultured bacterium. RNAcentral's name for it is "partial 16S ribosomal RNA". It matches the Rfam family "Bacterial small subunit ribosomal RNA", at positions 29 to 507 of the family's 1533-position model. The record is from RNAcentral.
AACGAACGCUGGCGGCAUGCCUAACACAUGCAAGUCGAACGAGACCUUCGGGUCUAGUGGCGCACGGGUGCGUAACGCGUGGGAACCUGCCCUUAGGUUCGGAAUAACUCCCCGAAAGGGGUGCUAAUACCGGAUAAUGUCUUCGGACCAAAGAUUUAUCGCCUUUGUAUGGGCCCGCGUUGGAUUAGCUAGUUGGUAGGGUAAAAGCCUACCAAGGCGACGAUCCAUAGCUGGUCUGAGAGGAUGAUCAGCCACACUGGGACUGAGACACGGCCCAGACUCCUACGGGAGGCAGCAGUGGGGAAUAUUGGACAAUGGGCGAAAGCCUGAUCCAGCAAUGCCGCGUGAGUGAUGAAGGCCGUAGGGUUGUAAAGCGCUUUUACCCGGGAUGAUAAUGACAGUACCGGGAGAAUAAGCUCCGGCUAACUCCGUG